CGGUUGGUGCCGUAAUGAGAGGUUUACGGAGAAUAGGGAAACAGGUGAGAGGCCUGUACGAUCUCGUCACUGUAUGCAGAUAGCAUUGCCAGAAAGUCACUGAAUGAAUGUUUGGGAAGGCGGCGGAUGCGGUUAAAGCUGUGAGUCAGGAGACCUGCCAGCCGU
Molecule: non-coding RNA, 165 nt
Filed under: uncultured Oliverpabstia sp.
Lineage: Bacteria; Bacillati; Bacillota; Clostridia; Lachnospirales; Lachnospiraceae
Source: RNAcentral